CAAAGCAGAAAGUAUCUGAAAAAUAAACAAGAAGGGGUAUGACACGAGCUCCCCCCGAGACAUCGCUUAUAUGGAAAGUCCUCACUCGCAGACGAUAGGAUAAAGGGUGCUUUGUAAAGGACAAGAAGGGAAAACAGGGCAAAUGAUGACUUUGCAUAAAUGCACGUUAUGUCUUACACGCCAGUCUAUUUUCUAAGCGUCUAAAACUUCAGCUGACCUCGUGCAAGGAAACAUUUGCGAUUAUCCGUGGACAGGGCGAAGUGUGCCUUCCCCAGGCCUGGCGGGCGGGCCCUGCAGACGCCCCCUCCAGCUUUUCCAGACCUCAGCACUGAAAUCUCCGAGGAUCCCCAGUCUCUGUGUCUUGCCUCCACGAGCUCAAAAGCCACAGGGCUCUCCCACUGUCCCCCUGCACGACCCACUCUUGAGGAUGUUUCAAGUUCUGCCAGAUCGAGCUGCGUGUUCAAGGCGUGGUCUCGUCACACCCACCCAGGUGGGGCACAUGUUCUUUUGUCAUUCAAUGGGAAGAGAAAUAGAGAUUCUAAUAAAGCUGGAAAAAUGAUUUCAAGAUUUUGGAGACUUGAAGCCAUUAUUGAUGCACUAUUGAUCUCCAAACCCCCCAAGAAACUUCAAGAAGCAGACAGAGAAAACAACCACAAAACAAACAAAUCAACCAAACAUGCAACCUUCUUCGGAGGGCUGGUCUUAAGUGCUAAUCAAAUUGAGAUCGUAAUAAACAUGUGUUCACACGUGC
Molecule: long non-coding RNA, 751 nt
Organism: Leopardus geoffroyi (Geoffroy's cat)
Lineage: Eukaryota; Metazoa; Chordata; Mammalia; Carnivora; Felidae
Exons: 2
Source: RefSeq, a predicted model, not a curated record